This is a long non-coding RNA of Peromyscus californicus insignis, 1245 nucleotides long. RefSeq lists it as uncharacterized. The record is from RefSeq and is a predicted model, not a curated record. Lineage: Eukaryota; Metazoa; Chordata; Mammalia; Rodentia; Cricetidae. The transcript has 3 exons.
UCCUGCCUGUCCCGCCUGCCCACUGCAACGCUGACCCCUGCAGGCCUGCUGAGGCCCUGCCCAGCCUGGGGACAGGCCAUCAGAGAGACAGACUAAGGAGGCAGGCGAGGCCAGCUUUGGGAUGCAGAGGCUAAAGGAUGGGAGAGAGAGGACAGAGGAGGCUGAAGGUACAGGGUAGAGGUGGCUGGGAAGGCUGGAGUAGGAUCUCAUGGGUGUGCAUGGGAAGGAACAGGUCUGCAUUCUCCAUCUGCCUCCUGUUCUCUUCCAUGGCCCCUUUCUUUAUAAUAACAGGAGUAACAGUGCCCGGGGCCAGGGACCAGGUGGGAAGGGAAGAGCACUCAUCAGGUAAAGUCUUAGUCUUAGGAUGAGCCCUAUGGGGACCUGCAGAGUGAGCGAGCAAAGGGAGAGAGAAUACCAUAGGAACCCUUCUGGAACUGGCCCGGGGCUUGAUGAGCAGGAGAGCAUAAGCCCAGUGCCCACACAAGAGAGAAGAAAACCUCACCAGCUUCCUUCACAGUCAGAGCCAACCUUGCCACAGGCAUUGGCGGACCCUGGAGUUUUCAAGGGGCAAGAUAGAGAGACGCUGUAAACUCUCCAUUCUCAUGUUUUGCUUGUUGAAGAAAUCAUUUCAGAAGUCUAACCUCAAACCAUCUUGCUACAUUUGAAGGCUACUCUCUUCUGCUGGAGCAUCCUGAGAGCCCAGCCAGCUGGGAGUUCCUGCCUUCUAAGCACUCAAAAGGACAAGGCAGAGGCAGGAAAUGGAGUCUGCAGGAGAACUCAGGUCCUUGGACAAAGAACCCAGGAGACUGUGAAUUACCCCCACCCUGCUCUCAGGCUCUGACUCUUCUUAGAAGAGGUCCUGUGCCUCUGGAGGAGGGACUUCAGGAGAGGCCCUUUCCUUCCAUGACGCUACCGCCGGGUGGGCCCCUGUGUCCUGGAUUCCAUGACGUGGCAGGAAGCGUUCAUAGCACCUAAUUCCCCAAGGGCUGGCUUGCUGCAUGCCUUGGACCCCUCAGGCCUGUUUCCCAUCUGGCACAGUCAUUGAAAUCAGGUGUCCUGGGCCAGCUGCAGGCUGAGAGUAGGAGCAGAGAGGGACAUUUUGUCCCUCUGGAGCAGACGCCAGGCCUCUACUCUCCCAAACAGGGCCCCCGAGGCCACCUGGCUGUGUUGCUAGGCCACGGCAUGGAGGCAGGGCUCCUGGGUCUGCCAGCAUCUUCCCUGACAUGAUCUCCAUACUGCUGUUUC